RNAcentral lists this long non-coding RNA (10940 nucleotides) under Homo sapiens (human). RNAcentral describes it as "non-protein coding GCC2-AS1:7". The record is from RNAcentral. Lineage: Eukaryota; Metazoa; Chordata; Mammalia; Primates; Hominidae.
AGUCUGGGAGGCUGGCGCAAACGCAGCGGGUGGCUGGGGUAGGGGCUCAUUGGGAGCCCACGGAGCGCGGCGGCGGCUCGGGGGCCGAGUUCCCUACAACAAGGAUGGCGGUGACGGGCGCAGGGAGCGGGGCCCGGCUCUCCUUGCCUCGAGGCUCCUCUGAUUCCACUCGCGUGGCUGCGCGGCCCUGGCAGCGGCCUUCGUCCCGGGGGUGGGAGCUACACAGGGUUCCGCCCCGUCCUGGCGAGGACGCCUGAGGGGGCUCUGUGAUAAAGAAAUGGGGGCUCCGAGCAGUCAAGAAGAACAUGCCCCAAGUUAUUCGUCAGUGAGGCGGAAAUUGUGGUGUACUUGUUCCAGACCAACUAUGAAGAUAGGAUGCCCAUCCAGAAGAACGGGAAGCAUUUUCUUCCUCACCUUUGGAAAGUAAAACAAAAAAAAAAAGAAAAAUAAAAGAAAAAAGAGAGUAUUAAAAUUUCUCAAUGUAAAAUCUAUAUUUUAGAAUCACUCUACAAUAUAAGCAAAUAAUGUGUUUUUUACUGAUUACAUGCCUUUUUUUUGGGGGGGGGGGUUCUUUUUUUUUGAGACAGGGUCUUGCUCUGUCACCCAGGCUGGAGUGCAGUGGCGUGAUGAGACUUCAAUGCAGCCUUGAUCUCCCAGGCUCAAGUGAUUCUCCCACCUCAGCCUCCCAAGCAACUGGGACCACAAGGUGUGUGCCACCAUGCCUGGGUAAUUUUUUGUUUUUUUUGUGGAGAUGCGGGUCUCACUGUUUUCCAGGCUGGUCUCAAAUUCCUGGGCUCAAGUGAUCCUCCCACUUCAGCCUCACAUUGUUGGGAUUACAGUCACGAGCCACUGUACCCAUCCAUAUGUCAUUCUUUAGACACACUACUUACUAAAUUUCUCUUUUUAAAGGAUAUACUGAAUUUCCGGUUGAGCCAACUUAACAGCUAAUUUUCUAUUUUAGCUUUAAAACAUUGAUAAGCAACAUGAAGCAAUCUAGAACUUAACCUUUAAAUGGCUUUAUUAAAGAAAUCCAGCUAUGAAAAUCAUGCAGAAAUGAUUAUUUACAAACAAUCCUACCAGCACAUAAGAAAUUCUUCUUCUAUUCUGAAAUACCAUCUUCUCACAAUAUACUUUGAUGUUAUGAAUCAAUGUCUGUUCUCGAACAUUAUUUGUCUUUCUCCAUUAAACAAUACCAAAAUAAAAUUUCCAGCACAACUAAGUAUUGUUGACGAUAAGAGGAUUUAAAAAAAAAUUCUUUUAAAACAGAAGCUUAUAUACAACUUAGAAUCUAAAACCAAUAGAUUUAUGGUAAACCUUAAAACUGAACCAAAACAAACAAAAACCAAAGUUUUAAUCAUUUAAAAAUCAUGUUUAUUGAGGUACAACUUACUUAUAGUAAAACCUGCCCUUUUCAGCAUAUAGCACUGAGUCUUGACAAAUGCACAGUUACGUACCACCACCGACCAAGGCCUGGCACAUUUUCACCUCCUCAAAGUUCUCCCUGGCUGCUUCUCCCACUCCUUGGCAACCGCUAACCUGUUUUCUGUCCUUAUAGUUCUGCUUUUUUCAGAGUGUCAUAUAAGUAGAAUCACACUGUACAUAGUAUUUUGAGUCUGACCUCUGUCAACUGGCAUAAGGCAUUUGAGAAUUAUCCAUGUUGCUGUACUGGCAGUGCAUUCUUUUUUAUUGCUGAGCAGUAUUCAAUUGCAUGGCUGUACCAGUUUAUUCAUUUGCCAGUUGAAGGAUAACUGAGAUCUUCCUCGUUUUUAGCAAUUUUAAAGAAAGUUUCUAUGAAUAAUUGUGUACAGGUUUUUAAUUAAAUGUUUUGGAGAUAUAAUUCAUAUACCACAUAAUUCACCUUUUUAAAGUGCAUAAGUCACUGGUUUUUAAUAUAUUCACAAGGUUUGUGCAUAGGUUUUUGUGUGAAUACUGGUUUUCAUUCCUCUUGGAUAAAGAUUUAAUUUGGUAUUAUCCUUCCAGACACCUUUCUGUGUUUUCAUACGUAUAUAUGUAUGUCAGUUUGACCUUAGGCAGAGUAGCAUUUUCAAAAUUUUACAUGGGGAAAUUUUCUAGAGUUAAAGCCAUUUUAUUUUUCUGUUCUGUCUGGUUUUAUCUGCGUGUUAUUUACAAUCUGCUGCGUAACAAAUUACAAAGUUAGUACCUUAACACAUAUUUAUUUCACAGUUUCUGUGGGUCAGGAGAUCAGAAAUGGUUCUAUUUCAAGGACUCUCACAGGGCUGCAAUCAAGAUGUUGGCAUGGCUGGGGUCUCAUCUGAAGGCUGGACUGGAGAAGAAUCUACUUCCAAACUUAUGUGGUAGUUGGAAGAAUUUAGUUCCUCAAGGCCGCUAAACUGAUGGCCUGUGUUCCUUGCCUAUGGGAUGGUAGCUUGCUUCAACAAAGUGUGCAAGCAGAGAAGACAGAGAGUCCGCUAGCAAGAUAGAAGCCACAAUCUCUUGUAAUCUAUCAUUUUUGCUGUAUUCUACUGGUUAAAAAUAACUCAUUAGGUUAGCCUACUGGCUCUCAAGGGGAAGAGAUUAUACAAAGGCAUGAAUUUCUGGAGGAGGGAAUGAGGGCAAAGAAUUCUGAGAAGUCUGUCUUCCACAAUCUGAAGAACUUCUAGAAAGUAGGAGGAAGCGAUAUUGCUUAGGGAUGGACAACUUGGCACUGGUUAUGUAUUUCAAGUGAGGUAACCUUGUUCCCAAGAAUAAAGAGAACCAGACGACUGUAAACAUUUCCCUAAACUGAAAUGCAGACUGUUGUAUGUUCCCCUGAAAUGAAUGGUGUAAGCUGAAUAUAAGAUUUUUGACAAAAAUUUUGCUGUGUUCUCAGAUCUGGCAGGCCCCUGCCCUUGUGCAAACAAUGUUCCUGGCAGCUAUUCAUCUCCUUAGGUAAAUAAGAAUUGGAGAAAAGCUGUGCUAAGAUAGGAUGCAUUUGCUCUUGCCUUGGAAGGUUGUUUUCUGAUAAGGUUCUAUAUCCUCAGCAAAUCAAAUCAGGCACUUACAGUGUGAGUAUGCAUUCUCUGCCUGCCAGUCUGGAGAUGAUCAAAAAGCCUAUAACAGGCUUGGCCUAUUUUCCUAUUGGGUUGCUGGGCUUUUUUUUCGUCUUUAUUUACUUGUAGAGAGUUUUAGACCUCUGUGUAUGUAUGGUGUACAAGUGACAAUAUUCAGAUCUGUAAACUGUAACACAGUCUGGGAGCAAAGAAGAUAUAGAAAAAUGACUUUUACUUCCUGCUUGAGUAGUAAAAUUGAGAUUCAAAUUUUGCAUAUAGAAGUACUAUAUGGCUAACUUAUUUGGGGAGCAAAACUGACUUACCAUAAGUCUACCUGAAAUAGAAAUGAAACACUCAAUUUGUGAAAUAUGCUGAGUUUUAAUGUGUGUGGGGGCAAGGUGAAUUAACAUUUGUGAUGCAAGGAGAGGAGCAAUCUAUACUUACCAGUGUCUAUUUGACAUUGUUUGGGGACUACUGUUACACUCUAAGUCACUUUACCUUAUAACGCAGAGUUGUAACACGCUACUCUGAGCAGCUCAUGACAUCUGCUUGAAAUUUAAGUUGGGCCCCUAAUAUGUGUUAAUUAUAAGGACUUUGAUGUUGCUUUUCCGAGUUGGGUAACCUACUUUACCCCCUAAGCUAAUGUUUCCCAAAUACACCCAAACCCACAGAAAGGAAAACUAUUCCUCAUUAACUUACAGCCAACAUCAUAAACAUUUUAUAUCUAGAGCUGAUGAUACAGUCAGGUAUUUACCAACACUCAUGUAUAUAUGUAGAGUUUCAAGAAAUAAUUGCUUACCCUUACUAGAUGCAACAUAUUCUAAUGUUUGACAUAUUAUUUUUAUUUCUUAAUUUUUUUUUAAAGAUGGGGUUUUACUCUGUUGUCCAGGCUGAAAUGCAGUGGCAUGACCAGGAUUUCGACCAGAAGUUUGACUGCAGCCUCGAACUCCUUAUAACAAACAAUCCUGCUGCCUUAGCCUCCUGAGUAGCUAGGACUAUGGACACAUGCCACCAGAUCUGGGAUAUUUUAAAAUUUUUGCAGACAUAGGGUCUCGCCAUGUUGCCCAGGCUGAUUCUGAACUCCUGUUCUCAAGCAAUCCUCCUGCCUGGUCUUCCCAAACUGUUGGGCUUACAGGUGUGAGUCACUGAGCCCAGCUUGUAUUCUUUUGAUUUUAAAAAAAUAUUCUGAAUGUGAUCCACCAAAUUAAUUUCACCAUCCACUAAUAGGUAGCAACCUGAAUGAAAAAUACUGUUAUAAACUUUACACAAAACCAGAGAUUAUAAACAUUUGCCUCCAAGGAGAUGAGAGAGGCAAAAGGUACUUGUUUGCUCUGAUGGGCCCUGUUUCCUUCAGUGCCAGGAAGAGUGGCUCUCAGAUCUUUCUUCUGGCAUCCCUCAUGUAUGCAGUGUUGGUUAUUAUUUUCAAGGCCUUGGUAACAAAAUGCCCCUAGUGUGACCAGUCAGACUGACAGUCCAUAUCUGUAAUAUGGUGGUAAGUUUCCUUUGCAUGUCUUUCUUUCUUGCAUCUUAGACCUUUUACCUAGGAAAUUUUCUUUUUGCUUAAAGUACAUCAUUAAGAAUUUUCAAUGAAGGCAGAUUCUUAAAGUUUUUGUUUUCCAGAAGAGAUCUUGGAAAAUAUAAAAGGUUGGCAGUUAUUUCUUUUAGUACAUGAGAUAGUAUUACACCAAUGCUGUUGAGAAGUCUAUUGUGAGGCAAUGUGUCUUCUUUCUCUGGCUGCUUUUGAGAUUUCUCUCUGUCUUUUUUAGGGGCAGUUUUACUCUUAUGUGACUAGAAGUAGAUUUCUUCUUUUUUUUUUAAUACUGCUUGAGAUUUUAUUGGGUUUUUGAAUCUGUGGAUAUCCUUCAACAGUUCUGAAAGAUUUCCAGCCAUUCUCUUCAUAUAUUAUCUGUGCUGUAUUCUUUUCUCUCCUUUUAGAACUUCAAUUAGUAAAAACAUGUUUGAUGUCUUUUCCCACUAUUGUUUUUUGUUUCUCCCAUGCUGAAUUCUGUGUAAUUUCUUUUGAACUAUCUUGUAGUUUACAUUCUUUUUUUUUUUUUUUUGAGACAGGGUUUUGCUCUUGUUGCUCGGGCUGGAGUGCAAUGGCACCAUCUCAGCUCACUGCAACCUCUGCCUCCCGGGUUCAAGCGAUUCUCCUACCUCAGCCUCCCAAGUAGCUGGGAUUACAGGCAUGUGCCACCACGCCCGGCUAAUUUUUGUAUUCUGAGUAGAGACGGGGUUUCACCAUGUUGGCCAGGCUGGUCUAGAACUCCUGGGUGAUCUACCCUCCUCAGCCUCCCAAAGUGCUGGAUUACAGGUGUGAGCCACCGUGCCAGGCCUUACAUUCUCUCUCUUUAAGAGAGAAUGUAAGGUAUCUAAAUCUGCUGCUAAACCAUCAUUGUUUUUAAUUGUAAUAAGGUCUCUUUUAUGUACUCACAUUGAUAAGAGACAAGUAGUAAAUAAUCUUUAAAGGGCAAACUAAUUUAAAUGUGUUUUCCUGUCUGUUUACAGGACUUAGCAAAUGCACAUCUUAGAGUUCUGGGUUUCUAAUGUGUAUCUCCUCUAUGAAAUUCUUUAAAAAUAUCUGUUCUUGGUAUCCCUUAGGUUAGUCUCUUUUAGAACUUCUAAAUCAAUGGACCCUUAACUUAUAGGAGCCACCUGGACGUUAGCAACAUCUACAUUAAACAUGCUGAGCUUUUAAAAGAGGCCUGUUAGACAUGCUGAGUAUUUUGAGAUAAUAUCAUUGUUGUAUUGAAAGCUAUUGAAAACUUUAAUUUUAAAAUGCAAACGUUCUUAAAGUCCUGGUUGAUUUUAUAACUAUAAAAUUAGUUAUAAUUUUGAGAUUUCUGUCUUGUUUUUUUAUAGGGGCAGUUUUACUCUUAGGUAACUAGAUUUCUUCUUUUUUAUAAUCAUAAAAUUAGGUUUACUUUUGUUAGAAUAAAUUAAAGACAGUGAAUUUGUAAUUUGAAUAACUACUAAAAAUACACAUGAUGUAUUCUUAUUUGGGCCCUUGUGACGAAAAUACUAUUGUGGCUACAGAAACCUAUCCUAUAGUUUGAAGAACUGAGAUUACUGUCAGUAUUGAGAACAUUCCUCCUUCAUCAUUAGAAAGAUUAUAAAAAACCAGAUUCAAAGAAACUAUCAAUACUACUUAUGAAGUAUGUCUGUAAAAAAAAUUAAGCCUGAAUCUUAUCAGGCCUCUAGACCAGGGGUUCUCAAGGUAUGGGCUCCAGACCAGAAGUAUCAGCAACAAAUUGCUAAAAAUGCAGAGUCUUGGGUCAGAAAUUGGGGACCAGCAAUUGGAAUUUUACUAAGUAUACCAGAUGAUUCAGAUGCCUGCUCAAUUUUGAGGAUGACUCUUAUCAGUUUAGUUAUUAGGGUUUACAGGGGAUGGGGAACAUGUUAAAGAACACCAACUAGAUAAGGUCAAUCAGGCAAAAGUAAGAUGUCUGGACAUUCUGGGCCUCUUGAUGUCUUAGAAAGCACACAAUACCAUCUAUGAUGUGUUUUUGUCCACCAUCCCACCCAACUGCACCUGGAUCUUCCUAUUUAUAGGCAAUUAGAACAAGUUCAGUGUUACCCUGUAAUGAUUAAAACCCAAAUACAGGACUGCUAUAGCAUAAAUGACCACUUUCUUCAAUAAGUGGCACAUUAAAAAUAUAUUUAUAUAUAUAAUUGUUAUAGAUAAAAAAACAACAAAAUGGCUGGGCGUGGUGGCUCACACCUGUAAUCCCAGCACUUUGGGAGGCCAAGGCGGGCAGAUCACAAGGUCAGGAGAUUGAGACCAUCCUGGCCAACAUGGUGAAACCUCGUCUCUACUAAAAAUAGAAAAAUUAGCUGGCGUGCAUCUGUAGUCCCAGCUGCUGGGGAGGCUGAGGCAGGAGAAUCGCUUGAAUCUGGGAGGCGGAGGUUGCAGUGAGCCAUGAUCGGACCACUGCACUCCAGCCAGGGUGACAGAGCAACACUAUGUCUCAAACAAACAAAAACACGACAACAAAAUAAAGCUUAAGGAACAUCAACCAAAUGCAAUAUAUGAGCCCUAUUUAGGAUACUAUAAAAAGACAUUCACAAUAACACAGGCAAAAUGAACAUAAACUAGGUAUAGGUGACAGAGAAAUCCAAUAAACAUUGAAUUAUUCACUGGGGAAAGAAAUGAUGUGUGGGAUUUAAGUCUCUAACUCUCCCCUAUUUACGCCAAAAGAUUGUCCAUGAGUUGAAAACUUAGAGAUGGGUGACAACGCAAGAGAGAUUAUAGUGUCUUCCUUGUAUGCUUGUAAAUGUCAAAAAUAAAAGUAAUUUAAAACUAAAACAAACAUGAAACCAUAAUUCUUAAGAUGCAGCUUGAAUUCAGUUAACUAUAGCAGUUGUAUAUGAAGCAUUUCAAAGAAGUUAAUGACAUCACAGUAUUAAAUCCAUCUGACAUGGAAACCAACUCUAACUACAUCAUAGUUUUUUUUUGUUGUUGAUGUUUUUUGUUUGAGAUGGAGUCUCGCUCUGCCGUCAGGCUGGAGUACAGUGGCGUGACAGCUCACUGCAACCUCUGCCUCCUGGAUUUGAGCAAUUCUCCUGCCUCAAUCUCCUGAGUAGCUGGGACUAUAGGCGCAUGCCACCACGUCCAGCUAAUUUUUGUAUUUUUAGUAGAGACGAGAUUUCACCAUGUUGGCCAGGAUGGUCUCGGUAUCUUGAUCUUGUGAUCCGCCUGCCUCGGCCUCCCAAAGUGGUGGGAUUAUAGGCGUGAACCACCGGCACCUGGCCUAUGGCACAGUUUUAAAACUGCAUUUGCCUAGAAAGUGGACUGCUGUAUAUAGACCAAGUGUUGGGCUAUAUAUGACUGCAUUGUCUUAGGCUAUUUGGGGUUGGAGGAAGGAAGAGGCGUGAAGUAGAAAAGGAACAAGCUAAUAAAUGUUUUUUAAAAAGUAGAAUUUAAAACAAAACCACGUUCAGCUGAACACCAGAACGCAACACCAGGAUAAAAAUCCAAUUUUCAAAGAGCUAGAAGAUCAAGCUAAGCACUUACUGUAUUUUGCUGAACGUUAAAAUUAUAUAAAUGUACUACAGUUGCCUCAAGAUGUUAAAAAGUCAGCUUUUCAAAUCUAGUCACGGCCUACUCAUAUGACAGACCCAAUUCAAAUGAGCAAAAUUGAAAAGUUACACAUACAGACAACUUCUCAACCACCAGGCUGUUUAGUUUAAGUUAGAAGUCAGAAGUUCUGAGACUCUCCUUUUACCCACCUUGAGCAACCGCAGCAAGUUUUCCCUUUUCUUCAGGGCUGAGCUGCAACAUCGUAUUUAUAACAGGAAGAAGUCUCUCUCUUUCACUACCUGGUUUCAAGAAAAUGAACUGCAGCAAGACGUUCUUCAAGUAUUCCAGGUUAGCUGCAGACUUCUCUCGCUCUUGAUUCCUUUCCAAUCUUCUUAUUUCACUUUUGAGAAGCUGGUGUUAGAGAAAUGAGUUAAAAAUGGGCUUUAGGAGCUUCUGAUUAAAUAUGGCAGACUGAACUCAUGUAUUUUUCUUCUCUUCCCCCCAAAUUUCCCCCUUCCCUCCAUAUGGCAAUAAAGGAAGGAAUUCAGUUAACUACAGCAGCUGCAUGUGAAGCAUUUCAAAGGAGUUUAUGACAUCACCGUAUAAAAUCCAUUUGACAUGAAAACCGGAACUCCAACUAUGAGAUAGUUUCAAAGCUGCAUUUGCCUAGAAAGUGGAUUGCUGCGUAUGAACCAAGUGUUGGGCUAUAUAACUCCACUGUCCUAAGCUAUUUGGGGUUGGAAGGAAGAGGGGUGAAGUAGAAAGGCAAGAAGCUAAUACAAGAGGAGAAAAAGUAGAUGAGACACAUCAAGAAAUUCUCACGAGAAACAGAUGAAGAGGUGGAAAUGAGUCAGUCCAGCAGCUUACCAAGUAUCACUGACGAGGAGAGGAUGCAUCCUGUGUAAAUACUGGGGUUCUUGUCUCAGAAGCACAGGGUAUCAUGGAAAUGGAGUUGAAAGCUGGGGAACUGAUGGAACGUCUCCAUGAGGAGCAACUAACUGGAGCCAUGGGUUGGUACCAAGAUGUUCCCUCUGCCUUCUACUUUCGAUAGAAACUAAGCCAGUAUGGCAUGGGGCUCUGAAAAUGGGCUGAGGGGAACAUCGGCAGCCUCCACUAACCCCCUGCCCCUACCCUGUUCCUGAAGUCCCAGGCAGUUAAGACGUCCACAGUGAACGGCACUUAAUCAAAACAAAAGUUCAGACACAGUGAAAAUUCAGGAAUAUAAGAUAAUGUAAAACACUAUCAGAAAAAUGAGGCAAAGAAUGAUAUAAAAAAGGUAAUAGGAUGUUCAAGUCUUUGAGGAAGAUUUCCAGGUUGAAACCAAGCCAUAGCUUUUAGUAUAUUUUCAUUUUAGGUUAGGCAAGAAAGUUAGCGAACUUUGUCCUCAAACCUAGGACCAUUUAAAAAAGUGACAAUAAAGAAGACUAAGAAAUCAUGAAGAGAGUAUAAAUUUAUGAAAAUAUAACAUUUGGCCAGGCGUGGUGGCUCAUGCCUGUAAUCCCAACACUUUGGGAGGCUGAGGCAGGCAGAUCACGAGGUCAGGAGAUUGAGACCAUCCUGGCCAACAUGGUGAAACCAUGCCUCUAGUAAAAUAAAAAAAAUUAGCCGGGCAUGGUGGUGCGUGCCUGCAGUCCCAGCUACUCGGGAGGCUGAGGCAGGGGAAUCGCUUGAACCUGGGAGGCGGAGAUUGCAGUGAGCUGAGAUUGCACCACUGCACUCCAAACCUGGAGACAGAGCGAGACUCUAUCUCAAAAAAAAAAAAAAAAAAAAAAAAAAAAAAGAAAAUAUAACAUUUAAAUAAGUCAUUUAGGUUUACUGGGCUAGUUAGUGAUUUGUUAGCUACGAUAAUGUUUUUAUUAGUCAGAAAAUGUUAUUUUAUAGAGAUGCAUACUGAAGUAUUUAAUGGUGGAAUGUCAUGAUAUAUACAAUUUACUGAAAAUAACUGAAUUCAGCUUUAAAAUAAUCUGACAAGGAUAGCUAGUGGCCUUGCACAGUGGCAGGACAGAUCUAUUAGGAGCAGCAAAGUACAGGGGAAAAGCAUGUACUUUUCAGACAGCUAUGGGUUUAAAUUUUGUUCCACCAUUUACCAGCUUCAAUUUUUCUCUCAACCAGUGAUGAGAUUAAAUAACGUAUGUAGAGCCCAGGGCCUGGGUCAUAAGAACUCCUCAAUAAGCAGUAUGACUAUAUUCUGAGGGGUGAUUUAUCAGUGAGCCAGGGUGGAAAUACCUCAUUUGAGUAAUCCUCAACUGUUCUGCAACAUUCCUAGAUGUUUCUGGUGUCUACUUUAAACAGGAAAAACUUCCCAUGCCACUUUGCCAUCUCCACCUGAAAACUGUUUAGUAGUUCAGUACUAUAAAUAUCAGUUGAAUAAUUUAAAUUCACUGGUUAUCUUUAGAAUUCAACGACUCACACCCAUUUAAGUUUUAUUUAAGCAUAUGUGAACAAUGAUUUGUGAACAUCUCUCUAGUUUCUAAAUCUAUUACGGUUUCUUAGAAAAAGUAGGAAUUAAGAAAUAAUCUUUAUGUAAUAGGUGUAAAAGAAGUAUUUUGGCUGGAUGCAGUGGCUCAUGCCUGUAAUACCAGCACUUUGGGAGGCCAAGGCAGGCGGAUCACGAGGUCAGGAGAUCGAGACCAUCCUGGCUAACAUGGUAAACCCUGUCUCUACUAAAAUUACAAAGAAAUUAGCCAGGCAUGUUGGCGGGCACCUGUAGUCCCAGCUACUCGGGAGGCUGAGGCAGGAGAAUGGCGUGAACCUGGGAGGUGGAGCUUGCAGUGAGCUGAGAUCGUGCAUGUGUAUGGAGGGUCAAGAAAACCAAACUGGCGGUUUUCACGGCGGCCAGGUUUUCUGAUCUCACCUUAAUUUGCUCCAUAAGAAUUGCAUUGGUUGCUUCUGUUUCCCGAAGCAGGCCGUUUAAGUGAUCUGCACUUUUU